Molecule: ribosomal RNA, 996 nt
Filed under: Blackwellomyces pseudomilitaris
Lineage: Eukaryota; Fungi; Ascomycota; Sordariomycetes; Hypocreales; Cordycipitaceae
Description: SSU rRNA
Rfam family: Eukaryotic small subunit ribosomal RNA
Source: RNAcentral
CUGCGAAUGGCUCAUUAUAUAAGUUAUCGUUUAUUUGAUAGUACCUUACUACUUGGAUAACCGUGGUAAUUCUAGAGCUAAUACAUGCUAAAAAUCCCGACUCACGAAGGGAUGUAUUUAUUAGAUUAAAAACCAAUGCCCUCUGGGCUUCUUGGUGAUUCAUAAUAACUUCUCGAAUCGCAUGGCCUUGCGCCGGCGAUGGUUCAUUCAAAUUUCUUCCCUAUCAACUUUCGAUGUUUGGGUAUUGGCCAAACAUGGUCGCAACGGGUAACGGAGGGUUAGGGCUCGACCCCGGAGAAGGAGCCUGAGAAACGGCUACUACAUCCAAGGAAGGCAGCAGGCGCGCAAAUUACCCAAUCCCGAUUCGGGGAGGUAGUGACAAUAAAUACUGAUACAGGGCUCUUUUGGGUCUUGUAAUUGGAAUGAGUACAAUUUAAAUCUCUUAACGAGGAACAAUUGGAGGGCAAGUCUGGUGCCAGCAGCCGCGGUAAUUCCAGCUCCAAUAGCGUAUAUUAAAGUUGUUGUGGUUAAAAAGCUCGUAGUUGAACCUUGGGCUCGGCCGGCCGGUCCGUCUCACCACGUGUACUGGCCUGGCCGGGCCUUUCCCUCUGUGGAACCCCAUGCCCUUCACUGGGUGUGGCGGGGAAACAGGACUUUUACUUUGAAAAAAUUAGAGUGCUCCAGGCAGGCCUAUGCUCGAAUACAUUAGCAUGGAAUAAUAAAAUAGGACGUGUGGUUCUAUUUUGUUGGUUUCUAGGACCGCCGUAAUGAUUAAUAGGGACAGUCGGGGGCAUCAGUAUUCAAUUGUCAGAGGUGAAAUUCUUGGAUUUAUUGAAGACUAACUACUGCGAAAGCAUUUGCCAAGGAUGUUUUCAUUAAUCAGGAACGAAAGUUAGGGGAUCGAAGACGAUCAGAUACCGUCGUAGUCUUAACCAUAAACUAUGCCGACUAGGGAUCGGACGAUGUUAUUUUUUGACGCGUUCGGCACCUUACGAG